Lepisosteus oculatus (spotted gar) is the source of this 585-nucleotide non-coding RNA. Lineage: Eukaryota; Metazoa; Chordata; Actinopteri; Semionotiformes; Lepisosteidae. The record is from RefSeq and is a predicted model, not a curated record.
UAGCGUCCUGUCCAGGGUGUACCCCCCUCGCGCUGGGACGGGACCCUGGAUUGGACGAACUGGGAAUGAAACGGGAGGAUGGGUUCGGUCUCCGUGUUGUGGCAGUCAGUGAGCGGACGUUGAGCAGUGCUCCCUGCAGAAGAAUAGUUGCAGUCGCUCAGUCAAGCAAGCUCUGUCACUUCAGCUGUAUGGUCUAACCCUCCCCCCCCCCGUCUCAGGUACAUAUUGGACCUGUCCAGGGAGCAGGAGACGGGAUUCGCCGAGCGGGUGGCUGACAUCGCCAGGGAGGCGGGGUUUGAACCGGCAGGGCAGAAGAGUGAUGUCAUCGCCACGUUCCGCCUCCGUGACCCCGAGCCCGCGCGCGGGAUGUGAUGGCGGUCGCCUGCUGGGCUCGGACGCCAACCAGGAGAGGAGUCCACACACUGAAUUUCCUUUUGCCUUUGAACGGACCCCACUGCCCCACCUGGUGGGCACAGGUUUUCAAUAUCCCCUGCUGGAAAAGUGUAGAAUCGAUUUUCUAACACGGCCGGGUUUCAUCCCCCUACGAGCAUGAAAAAACUGGUAAAUAAACAACUCUCUACGGCC